GUAUGAGCUACAAGCUAGAUAGGCUGAUAGACGUUUCCAAUCGCCUCGCUACCUCCUGAAAUACGAUAAUGAUAACCAAUUUAUCCACUAUCGAAUCGAGAAACCUUAAUAUCUAAUAAUAUAACAUAAUUUAAAUGCUCUUGAUACUUAAAUAAAUUCUCAAAUUUUCCUUUAUUAAUUGGAGCUAAUCACACCUUAUAAUCCCUUGGUUAAUCACUAAUUUAUCAACAUAACCAUCAUUUCAAAUUUAAAACUAAUUUUAAUCUCCAAUCUAAUGAAACUAGUAACCACAAUUCCCCCCACAUAAUAUAUAUUUGUUCCAUAAAAUAAAUUCCCAAAUGAAACAUUUCAUUUACAUAAUCACUUCACAAUUAAUUAAUUAAAAUCCCCAAAAUCGGAUUCUAGGGUUUUCCCAAAAAUUUGACAUCUCCAUACCUUACUAAAAAUUUGAAAUGAAUAAAUCCCCACACUUGAGCUCCAAUUCGUGCAAAUAUCCCUAAAAUUCGACAUAUUAUUCAACAAGUUAAAACCCUAAAAUUUUUAACAUAAUUCAUACUUUAUCACCUAAAACAAAUGGAAAAUUUCAACCCAACUUGAAGAUAUCAACCUUACCUCCUUUCCUCUUCUUUUUCCUUUUUCUUUUCCUUUUUCCCUUCUUCUUUUCCUCUUUUUCUCUUCUUCUCUCGGUCUCUGCCUCCCGUAAGUUACUGUGUGUGUGUAAAAUGGGUCAAAGGUUUGAAUUAAUUGGUCCAAAACCCAUAAUUGCAAACUAAGUCCCUUAACUUCACUUUUUAGUAACAUUUAAUCCUUUAACUUCCCAAAGUAUAUAUAUAAAUUCCAAACUUUUAAAUAUAUCCAAUUCAACCUUUAUAUUUUGCCAAUUGCAAAAUAACCCAAAUAAAAUAUUUAAUUUCAUUUUAGUCCUUG
Molecule: long non-coding RNA, 927 nt
Filed under: Olea europaea (common olive)
Lineage: Eukaryota; Viridiplantae; Streptophyta; Magnoliopsida; Lamiales; Oleaceae
Description: long non-coding RNA (OEUR_LNC012907)
Source: RNAcentral